UACGUAGGGUGCGAGCGUUAAUCGGAAUUACUGGGCGUAAAGCGUGCGCAGGCGGUUCGUUGUGUCGGCGGUGAAAGCCCCGGGCUCAACCUGGGAAUUGCGGUUGAAACUGGCGGACUAGAAUCUGGCAGAGGGGGGUGGAAUUCCACGUGUAGCAGUGAAAUGCGUAGAUAUCGGGAGGAACACCAGUGGCGAAGGCGGUUGCCUGGAGCUUUGCUGACGCUGAGGCGCGAAAGCGUGGGGAGCGAUCCGG
Molecule: ribosomal RNA, 253 nt
Filed under: uncultured bacterium
Lineage: Bacteria
Description: partial 16S ribosomal RNA
Rfam family: Bacterial small subunit ribosomal RNA
Source: RNAcentral